UCCAGGAACACCAGUGGCUACAGUGGCUU
Molecule: non-coding RNA, 29 nt
Filed under: Mus musculus (house mouse)
Lineage: Eukaryota; Metazoa; Chordata; Mammalia; Rodentia; Muridae
Source: RNAcentral